RNAcentral lists this long non-coding RNA (561 nucleotides) under Pongo abelii (Sumatran orangutan). Its description in RNAcentral is "lincRNA". Lineage: Eukaryota; Metazoa; Chordata; Mammalia; Primates; Hominidae. The record is from RNAcentral.
GGUGGCCCUGAUCCCGAUGACUCUGAAACAUGCUUGCCCUUCCCCAGAGGUUCCUGCUCCCAGCCCAGGCCCAGAUGGCGACACAAGCUCAUGUCCCCAGCCCCCACAGAAAGACCCAAUUACAGAAGGGAGAAGUAUGUGGAGACCCUUAGCUGAGGUUGGGGGACCUGAAAGCUGGAGGGGAGUGAAGGGACAGGAUGGAGCGGGGGUGGCGCCAAGGCACGGGGAGAACCAGAGGCCGCGGGAAUGGCAGACUCUGGACGUGCUCCUAGAGAUGGGAGGUCAAAAUGAUCAACGUCCAGGGUCCCUUCAUCUCAGAGGGUCUCGAGUCACUUCAUUUAAAGUAUGGCCUGGGAGAUCUCCCAUCCAGCCAUACGCUGCCCAGGACUGGCUCAACACCUCCCACCCACCACCGCUGGUUCACCCAUGACACGUCACCUCCCACCCGCCACUACUGGCUCACCUGUAACACCCCAGGCAGCUCAGAUGCCCAGCAGGUCCUGCUGGUGAGAGGGAGGCCGCAACCUGUCCUGUCUGGGACCUGGGCAUUGCUGGGCGCCG